GAUGAACGCUGGCGGCGUGCUUAACACAUGCAAGUCGAACGGAAAGGCCCAAGCUUGCUUGGGUACUCGAGUGGCGAACGGGUGAGUAACACGUGGGUGAUCUGCCCUGCACUUCGGGAUAAGCCUGGGAAACUGGGUCUAAUACCGGAUAGGACCACAUUUUGGAUGGUGUGGUGGAAAGUUUUUCGGUGUGGGAUGAGCUCGCGGCCUAUCAGCUUGUUGGUGGGGUAAUGGCCUACCAAGGCGUCGACGGGUAGCCGGCCUGAGAGGGUGUACGGCCACAUUGGGACUGAGAUACGGCCCAGACUCCUACGGGAGGCAGCAGUGGGGAAUAUUGCACAAUGGGCGCAAGCCUGAUGCAGCGACGCCGCGUGGGGGAUGACGGCCUUCGGGUUGUAAACUCCUUUCGCUAGGGACGAAGCGUUUUUGUGACGGUACCUGGAGAAGAAGCACCGGCUCACUACGUG
Molecule: ribosomal RNA, 467 nt
Filed under: uncultured bacterium
Lineage: Bacteria
Description: partial 16S ribosomal RNA
Rfam family: Bacterial small subunit ribosomal RNA
Source: RNAcentral